GGGUUUAAAGGGUGUGUAGGCGGGCCAUUAAGUCUGUGGUGAAAUCUCCGAGCUCAACUCGGAAACUGCCUUGGAUACUAUUGGCCUUGAAUUAUGUUGAGGUUGGCGGAAUAUAACAUGUAGCGGUGAAAUGCAUAGAUAUGUUAUAGAACACCGAUUGCGAAGGCAGCUAACUAAGCAUAUAUUGACGCUGAUGCACGAAAGCGUGGGGAUCAAACAGGAUUAGAUACCCUGGUAGUCCACGCCCUAAACGAUGAUUACUCGUCAUUUGCGAUACACAGUGAGUGACCAAGCGAAAGCGUUAAGUAAUCCACCUGGGAAGUACGUCCGCAAGGAUGAAACUCAAAGAAAUUGACGGUGGUCCGCACAAGCGGUGGAGCAUGUGGUUUAAUUCGAUGAUACGCGAGGAACCUUACCUGGGCUAGAAUGUGAGCGACUGUGUCUGAAAGGAUACAUUCCGCAAGGACGCGAAACAAGGUGCUGCAUGGCUGUCGUCAGCUCGUGCCGUGAGGUGUUGGGUUAAGUCCCGCAACGAGCGCAACCCCCAUCUUUAGUUGCCAGCGAGUCAUGUCGGGAACUCUAAAGAAACUGCCGCCGUAAGGCGUGAGGAAGGAGGGGACGAUGUCAAGUCAUCAUGGCCUUUAUGCCCAGGGCUACACACGUGCUACAAUGGUAAGGACAAAGGGCAGCUACCAAGCGAUUGGAUGCUAAUCUCAAAAACCUUAUCUCAGUUCGGAUUGCAGCUGCAACUCGCCUGCAUGAAGCUGGAAUCGCUAGUAAUCGCGCAUCAGCAUGGCGCGUGAUACGUUCCCGGACCUUGUACACACCGCC
Molecule: ribosomal RNA, 831 nt
Filed under: uncultured bacterium
Lineage: Bacteria
Description: bacterial SSU rRNA
Rfam family: Bacterial small subunit ribosomal RNA
Source: RNAcentral